This 253-nucleotide ribosomal RNA is filed under the name uncultured bacterium. RNAcentral's name for it is "partial 16S ribosomal RNA". It matches the Rfam family "Bacterial small subunit ribosomal RNA", at positions 524 to 776 of the family's 1533-position model. The record is from RNAcentral.
UACAGAGGUCCCAAGCGUUGUUCGGAUUCAUUGGGCGUAAAGGGUGCGUAGGUGGCGGGGUAAGUCGGAUGUGAAAUCUCGGGGCUCAACCUCGAAACUGCAUUCGAUACUGCCUUGCUAGAGUACUGGAGAGGAGAUCGGAAUUUACGGUGUAGCAUUGAUAUGCGUAUAUAUCGUAAGGAAGACCAGUGGCGAAGGCGGAUCUCUGGACAGUUACUGACACUGAGGCACGAAGUCCAGGGGAGCCAAUGGG